This 436-nucleotide ribosomal RNA is filed under the name Pleurodonte guadeloupensis dominicana. Its description in RNAcentral is "partial 16S ribosomal RNA". It matches the Rfam family "Bacterial large subunit ribosomal RNA", at positions 1827 to 2602 of the family's 2925-position model. The record is from RNAcentral. Lineage: Eukaryota; Metazoa; Mollusca; Gastropoda; Stylommatophora; Pleurodontidae.
AACCAUGUGAAUUACAUACUUGGCGCUGUCUGCUCCAUGAAUAUUAAAUAGCCGCAGUACUUUGACUGUGCUAAGGUAGCAUAAUCAGUUGACUUUUAAUUGAAGUCUAGUAUGAAUGAAUAAAUGGGUGAGAGCUGUCUCCAGAAAGCUAUAAGAAUUUAUUUAGUAAGUGAAAAUACUUACAUAUUAACAAAAGACGAGAAGACCCUAGAAAUUUUUUAAAAAUUGUAAUUAUUUACGUAUCUAUUUUACUGGGGCGGUAGAGUAACAAUAUMAACUUGCUUAAAGUAUAAGAAGAUUUUUAUCAGAAAAAAUAUAAUUACUCUAGGGAUAACAGCAUAAUUUUGGAGAGUUUGUGACCUCGAUGUUGGACUAGGGUUUGCAAUGUUCAGAAGAUGUUGUUGUGUGUUCUGUUCGAACAAUUUUCCCCUACAUG